Molecule: transfer RNA, 67 nt
Filed under: Acisoma panorpoides
Lineage: Eukaryota; Metazoa; Arthropoda; Insecta; Odonata; Libellulidae
Description: tRNA-Tyr
Rfam family: tRNA
About the family: Transfer RNA (tRNA) molecules are approximately 80 nucleotides in length. Their secondary structure includes four short double-helical elements and three loops (D, anti-codon, and T loops). Further hydrogen bonds mediate the characteristic L-shaped molecular structure. tRNAs have two regions of fundamental functional importance: the anti-codon, which is responsible for specific mRNA codon recognition, and the 3' end, to which the tRNAs corresponding amino acid is attached (by aminoacyl-tRNA synthetases). tRNAs cope with the degeneracy of the genetic code in two manners: having more than one tRNA (with a specific anti-codon) for a particular amino acid; and 'wobble' base-pairing, i.e. permitting non-standard base-pairing at the 3rd anti-codon position.
Source: RNAcentral
GGUAAGAUGGUCGAGACUCAGGCGAUAGACUGUAAAUCUAUAUACGAGGUAUAUACCUCUUUUACCA